Molecule: long non-coding RNA, 686 nt
Filed under: Eucalyptus grandis
Lineage: Eukaryota; Viridiplantae; Streptophyta; Magnoliopsida; Myrtales; Myrtaceae
Description: long non-coding RNA (EGRA_LNC003445)
Source: RNAcentral
GUGACACAAACAUGAAAAAAAUGAUUAUAAGAUGAAUUUCUAAUGCUAACAGAACUAAGUGAACUGGACAAAAUAAAGAAUUGCGGGUAAAGAAUAGAUAAAUAAUUUGCAGAAAAAAUUGAUAAGUGUGAUUACUUGCGGAUCAUUUAUAAUUAACUCUUCUCGGCCUUAUAUAGCAUUGUACAAAGUGUGACGUUAAAAGCGGUUAUCAUUCAAAUUCCAAAUUCUAACUAUUCCCAAGAUUCUAGGCCUCAACUUGUAAACGGUUGCAAUUUGGCUAUAUCUCUAUUUCUACAUGGCUGCCCCUUUUCUAUCGGAUUUCCAGUCUUUGUCAAUUGCCUUUCCCAUAUUAGUCGCCAACUUGUAGUGAUAGUUCGGAGCUGCCCUGUCGACAACGCAGUAUGAAAUCUCACCAUCCCAUUAAAAUUCGGAUUAUUUUCUUGUGUGAACAUAUGCCCCUUUUAAAUAAAAUAUAUCGGAGUGCCGGGUUUUUUUUUUUUUUUUUUGGGUCAAAACAGCGGUUUUAUAUAUUAACUCAUGUUUGAACAACCACUGUACAUAGCUUCGGAAUACAGAAGAUCCAACAGAUAAUGCGGAGUGCCGGGUUUAUUUUGUCAAUAUAUGGGCAGAAUUGCAGCGCCUUGAUAACUGCUUUAUCUUCUCCUGUAUUGAUUAGACACGUAGCC